Molecule: ribosomal RNA, 468 nt
Filed under: uncultured bacterium
Lineage: Bacteria
Description: partial 16S ribosomal RNA
Rfam family: Bacterial small subunit ribosomal RNA
Source: RNAcentral
GACGAACGCUGGCGGCGUGCUUAACACAUGCGAGUCGAACGGAAAGGCCCUGCUUUUGUGGGGUGCUCGAGUGGCGAACGGGUGAGUAACACGUGAGUAACCUGCCCUUGACUUUGGGAUAACUUCAGGAAACUGGGGCUAAUACCGGAUAGGAGCUCCUGCUGCAUGGUGGGGGUUGGAAAGUUUCGGCGGUUGGGGAUGGACUCGCGGCUUAUCAGCUUGUUGGUGGGGUAGUGGCUUACCAAGGCUUUGACGGGUAGCCGGCCUGAGAGGGUGACCGGCCACAUUGGGACUGAGAUACGGCCCAGACUCCUACGGGAGGCAGCAGUGGGGAAUAUUGCACAAUGGGCGGAAGCCUGAUGCAGCAACGCCGCGUGCGGGAUGACGGCCUUCGGGUUGUAAACCGCUUUCGCCUGUGACGAAGCGUGAGUGACGGUAAUGGGUAAAGAAGCACCGGCUAACUACGAG